GAUGAACGCUGGCGGCGUGCUUAACACAUGCAAGUCGAACGGAAAGGCCACAGCUUGCUGUGGUACUCGAGUGGCGAACGGGUGAGUAACACGUGGGUGAUCUGCCCUGUACUUCGGGAUAAGCUUGGGAAACUGGGUCUAAUACCGGAUAGGAAUCACAUGUGGGUGUGUGGUUGGAAAGCUUUUGCGGUAUGGGAUGAGCUCGCGGCCUAUCAGCUUGUUGGUGGGGUAAUGGCCUACCAAGGCGUCGACGGGUAGCCGGCCUGAGAGGGUGUACGGCCCCCUUUGGGCUGUGAUACCGGCCCGAAUCCCUCCGGGGGGACGCGUGGGGGAUAUUUCCCAAAUGGGGCAAGGCCGAUGUCGCGCCCCCCCGUUGGGGAUGACGGCCUUCGGGUUGUAAACUCCUUUCGUCAGGGACGAAGCGAAAGUGACGGUACCUGGAUAAGAAGCACCGGCUAACUACGUG
This 466-nucleotide ribosomal RNA is filed under the name uncultured bacterium. RNAcentral's name for it is "partial 16S ribosomal RNA". It matches the Rfam family "Bacterial small subunit ribosomal RNA", at positions 28 to 507 of the family's 1533-position model. The record is from RNAcentral.